AUCUUUAGAAGCACAUAUGCUGCUGACGAGGUCGGUUGUGCUGUCUCUCGCUCUUCAAAUGAGAGCGCUGCUUCCUCCAUGCUGUACGGGCAGACUGAAGGGGAGAGAAGGUGUAUCCC
Long non-coding RNA from Carassius auratus (goldfish), 119 nucleotides. RefSeq lists it as uncharacterized. The record is from RefSeq and is a predicted model, not a curated record. The transcript is spliced from 2 exons. NCBI's taxonomy places the organism in Eukaryota, Metazoa, Chordata, Actinopteri, Cypriniformes, Cyprinidae.